UGCUAUGACACAUUAGUUAAAAUUUGCUCCAUUCAAGAUAUGCUGUGCAUUUAUUAUUGUGCUAGUGAUAAAGACAAUUGUCUACGAAGCAAGCGGGUGUGUAGGUAAUCUUAUGAAGUGGUAGGUAUUUGUUAAUUAUUUCGCAGAUAAGGUAUAGGUAUAAACGGUACCUAAAAAAAUGUGACGUAAUCCAGUAAGUAUUGUACAACUAUCAUGAAAAAAUCCAGCACACGAAGUGACAUUAAUAACAUUAGUAGGACAUAUGGAACGUAUAAAAGUUCAAUGUCUUAUCCCAAGACUCAGAAUCCUGACCUAAGUACCGAAAUAUUAUAAUUGUCACUUAACCUAUUAACCGCAUAAUGUCGCAAUAUGUGAGACGGACUGACAUUAUUCACAGGAUAUGAUAUCACACGCAGUCUCUCCUUCGUGACACCACGACGUCUGUUGCUGGCAUAAAGCUAAUCUACUUUAAGUGCAGUUCAAAUAUUGUGCGCAAUGUGGAAUUAGUUGGGAGGAACGUUUCAAAAUAGGAACACUUCACGACCAGUUUCUACGGACGAUUUGACAUUUUAAAUCCUGUUGUUUUUACAUCAUACCCAUGUGCAAAUAUUGAUUAAAUACAUAUUUAAACAAUGAAAUAAAAACAGUCAUUUACGUCAUGUGUA
Helicoverpa armigera (cotton bollworm) is the source of this 665-nucleotide long non-coding RNA. RefSeq lists it as uncharacterized. The transcript is spliced from 2 exons. The record is from RefSeq and is a predicted model, not a curated record. Lineage: Eukaryota; Metazoa; Arthropoda; Insecta; Lepidoptera; Noctuidae.